CCUACGGGUGGCAGCAGUGAGGAAUAUUGGUCAAUGGACGUAAGCCUGAACCAGCCAAGUCGCGUGAAGGAUGACUGCCCUAUGGGUUGUAAACUUCUUUUAUAAGGGAAUAAACCGCGGCACGUGUGCCUUUUUGCAUGUACUUUAUGAAUAAGGAUCGGCUAACUCCGUGCCAGCAGCCGCGGUAAUACGGAGGAUCCGAGCGUUAUCCGGAUUUAUUGGGUUUAAAGGGAGCGUAGAUGGGGUGUUAAGUCAGUUGUGAAAGUUUGCGGCUCAACCGUAAAAUUGCAAUUGAUACUGGCAGGCUGGAGUACAGUUGAGGUAGGCGGAAUGCGUGGUGUAGCGGUGAAAUGCUUAGAUAUCACGCAGAACCCCGAUUGCGAAGGCAGCUUACUAAACUGUGACUGACACUGAUGCACGAAAGCGUGGGGAUCAAACAGGAUUAGAUACCCCGGUAGUC
This 460-nucleotide ribosomal RNA is filed under the name uncultured bacterium. Its description in RNAcentral is "partial 16S ribosomal RNA". It matches the Rfam family "Bacterial small subunit ribosomal RNA", at positions 338 to 795 of the family's 1533-position model. The record is from RNAcentral.